Molecule: ribosomal RNA, 768 nt
Filed under: uncultured bacterium
Lineage: Bacteria
Description: bacterial SSU rRNA
Rfam family: Bacterial small subunit ribosomal RNA
Source: RNAcentral
AAAGAUUAGCUAAUACCGCAUACGCCCUGAGGGGGAAAGUAGGGGAUCUUCGGACCUUACGUUAUAAGAGCGGCCGAUAUCUGAUUAGCUAGUUGGUGGGGUAAUGGCCUACCAAGGCUUCGAUCAGUAGCUGGUCUGAGAGGACGACCAGCCACACUGGAACUGAGACACGGUCCAGACUCCUACGGGAGGCAGCAGUGGGGAAUUUUGGACAAUGGGCGAAAGCCUGAUCCAGCCAUUCCGCGUGAGUGAAGAAGGCCUUCGGGUUGUAAAGCUCUUUCGCAAGGGAAGAAAACUUACAUUCUAAUAAAGUGUGAGGCUGACGGUACCUUGAUAAGAAGCACCGGCUAACUACGUGCCAGCAGCCGCGGUAAUACGUAGGGUGCGAGCGCUAAUCGGAAUUACUGGGCGUAAAGCGUGCGCAGGCGGUUUGGCAAGUCAGAUGUGAAAUCCCCGAGCUCAACUUGGGAACUGCGUUUGAAACUGCCAGACUAGAAUAUGUCAGAGGGGGGUAGAAUUCCACGUGUAGCAGUGAAAUGCGUAGAGAUGUGGAGGAAUACCAAUGGCGAAGGCAGCCCCCUGGGAUAAUAUUGACGCUCAUGCACGAAAGCGUGGGGAGCAAACAGGAUUAGAUACCCUGGUAGUCCACGCCCUAAACGAUGUCUACUAGUUGUUGGUGGAGUAAAAUCCAUGAGUAACGCAGCUAACGCGUGAAGUAGACCGCCUGGGGAGUACGGCCGCAAGGUUAAAACUCAAAGGAAUUGACGG